RNAcentral lists this unclassified non-coding RNA (272 nucleotides) under plant metagenome. RNAcentral's name for it is "partial contains small subunit ribosomal RNA, internal transcribed spacer 1, and 5.8S ribosomal RNA". The record is from RNAcentral.
UUUCCGUAGGUGAACCUGCGGAAGGAUCAUUAAUGAGUUGUCAUGGGGUUCGAUGCUGGCAGCCAGUUUUUGGAUGCAUGUGCUUGCCCUAACAAUCAUCUUCUUCCAAACACCUGUGCACAUUUUUGAGGGAGUCUUGAGUUGGUUGCCGCUCUUGGGUGAUUUUCUCACAUUCCCCUAAAUCAUUAUACGCUAUUAACAAUGUUGAACGUGCUCUGUGCCGCAAGGCCAUUAAUAUAAUACAACUUUUAACAACGGAUCUCUUGGCUCUC